This 447-nucleotide ribosomal RNA is filed under the name uncultured bacterium. RNAcentral's name for it is "bacterial SSU rRNA". It matches the Rfam family "Bacterial small subunit ribosomal RNA", at positions 355 to 825 of the family's 1533-position model. The record is from RNAcentral.
UAGGGAAUAUUGGACAAUGGGUGAGAGCCUGAUCCAGCCAUGCCGCGUGAAGGAUGAAGUAUUUCGGUAUGUAAACUUCGUAAGAAUAGGAAGAAUAAAUGACGGUACUAUUUAUAAGGUCCGGCUAACUACGUGCCAGCAGCCGCGGUAAUACGAAGGUGGCAAGCGUUAUUCGGAUUUACUGGGCGUACAGGGAGCGUAGGCGGUUCGGUAAGCCCUCUGUGAAAUCUUCAGGCUUAACCUGGAAAAGUCGGAGGGGACUGCUGGGCUAGAGGACGGGAGAGGAGCGCGGAAUUCCCGGUGUAGCGGUGAAAUGCGUAGAGAUCGGGAGGAAGGCCGGUGGCGAAGGCGGCGCUCUGGAACGUUUCUGACGCUGAGGCUCGAAAGCGUGGGGAGCAAACAGGAUUAGAUACCCGAGUAGUCCCUGAGCGGGCUGGCAAGGCGCAU